This 300-nucleotide ribosomal RNA is filed under the name uncultured Bacillus sp. Its description in RNAcentral is "bacterial SSU rRNA". The stretch from base 63 to 300 matches the Rfam family "Bacterial small subunit ribosomal RNA", at positions 558 to 795 of the family's 1533-position model. Lineage: Bacteria; Bacillati; Bacillota; Bacilli; Caryophanales; Bacillaceae. The record is from RNAcentral.
UUAUAUGUGGGGUGGGCGGCGGUGGUGGUUCGGAGUGUGCGAGGGUUGGUCGGUUGUGUGGUGCGGAAAGGUGGUGGAGGGGGUGGUUCGCGUCGUAAGUGUAAUGUUGGGGCGUAGCUCUGAGCUUGCUUUCGAUACGGGUUGAUGUGAGGAAGGUAGGGGAGAAUGGAAUUCCUGGUGGAGCUGUGGAAUGCGCAGAUAGCAGGAGGAACACCAGUGGCGAAGGCGGUUCUCUGGGCCUUUCCUGACGCUGAGGAGCGAAAGCGUGGGGAGCGAACAGGCUUAGAUACCCCAGUAGUC